RNA transcript from Spodoptera frugiperda (fall armyworm), 2021 nucleotides. RefSeq lists it as uncharacterized. The record is from RefSeq and is a predicted model, not a curated record. Lineage: Eukaryota; Metazoa; Arthropoda; Insecta; Lepidoptera; Noctuidae. The transcript has 4 exons.
AAGGAGAAUGGCAGAAUUCGUACAGCAUACUUUUUUGGUGUUCCCUGAUAAAAUUUGUACCACUUAUUGAGGGAACUAAACCAUUCAUUUUUUUGUAAAAAUAAUAUUUUUAGAAGCUGGGGUUUAGCAAAUAUAUCAAUUAAAAGAUUUUAGUAACGAAACGUAAUAUAAUGAAACGAAACGUAGAAGACAUGUUUAGUUAGUUGCCAUUAAUAAAAUAUCAGAAGGCUCGAAAUGAUAAAUCAAUAUUUUGAAAUAGAAAUAACAGUAAAUAUAAUUAACCAAUUACAGGUUAUACCUUAGAAUAUAUAAUUAAUGCAUAUAUAUGCAUAGAAUCUUUAUAUUUAUAGGAAUUAUUUUUGCCAUCAGUAUUUUUUUUGUAAUGGCAAUUAUUUAUUGACAGCUUCGUAAAAUCCCUAAUCUUUCAAAGUCUGUCCAGUUUUUGCCGUUGUUUUGUUUUGGAUUGUAGUUAGUAACUUCAUCUAAACAAUUUAGCAAUUAUCUGGCCGUUUUUACGUUGAGUUGAGCAACUGCUUCUCCGUUCUCCAUCUGUUGAUACUACUUUCGCGAAAGGACGCUUUAUUAAUUGUGUUGUGUGUUACGUGUUUUAUUGAAAAUGACGAGUUUGCAAUGCAUCAAUUGCAAUGUUCGCUUGUCCCGAAGAAGAAGACACGCUUUAUCAAAUGACGGUGAAGAUAUCGUCAACACUAAUCGUCUGUGGACAUAUCUUAGAGAUAUUACACCAGAUGACCAUGUUUACCAUGAAUGCUGGCAGCUAGCUAGUCAUUCAUGUUCUUCUGAUAAUAUGCCGAGAAGACACAUAGGCCAUCGGUGUUUGUGUUGUAUGUGGACAACCCAUACUAAGAAUCAGGCAAUGCAGAAUUUUGAUUGAAGAAAAACAAAGAACGGCUUACACAAUUGCUACUUAGAUAUAACCACGACAGCGUCAUCCUGACGAUAAAGCUUGUGUGCGGUGUUGGUUAAGAGUGAAAACUAAGGAUACUUCACCAAAUGAAGAUAUUCAACCCGUUGAACCUUAUCAGCAGGAAAGUGAUAAUUCUGAACUGAUGUGUGCUGCAUGUGGUCAAAGUCUUACUCCCGACAACACUGCUUGUUUGUUGGAGCACCAGCAGACACCUUCCAUUAAUGAAGUUUGUGAAGUUUGCUGGGGCCAAGUAUGCAAUUUGAACUUCUAUGUUCAAGAUGGUCUAUGUUGCUUCAAGCUAAAAUAAAGUCCUGCCACUCUUCUCCUAGAACUUAUUUUGUUUUCAUAGUUGCAGAAACAAAUAUGAAUAGCCGGGACACAAUCAAAAGUGAUUGCUGUAAUUGUAUUGUAGGUUUAAGAACAGUGGGAUGCCGCUCACAUGUUAUGAGCAUUCUUUGGUAUUUGAGUUAUGCUUGCCAUGAGGGUAUCAGCCGACCUGCCCCUUUCUUGGAUGAAGUAAUAUUAAGAACCAAUCAAGUAAUUAUAAGAAAACUAGCGGACCCGACAGACGUUGUCCUGUCUACUCGUUAAUUUGAAAAUUUUAAACUUUUUUAAUAAGCUAAAACAUUCUGGACCUUUUUGAUGAAAAUUAUUAUUCAAAUGUUAUGACAAUAUCUAACGUCAUUAAUAUUUGACACUGCGAUGGUAGCGCCGUCCGUCGGAUCCGAUGUAAAACAUUCCAAAAUCAACAACUACUAAUAAAUUAAAAAUUAAAUAAAAAAACUUUGUCCAGCAGACAAAAUUGUGAAUCUAAACCAUUCUCAGAUCCUCUUGAACACACACAAUAAGUUUCAUCAAAAUCCGUCUAGUCGUUUAAGAGGAGUUCAGUGACAUACACACGUACAGAAGAAUUAUAUAUAAAGGGUGUCCCAACAAGAACGCAAGAUUUAAAUUUUAAAUAAAACGCAGAUACUUAUUUAAAAAAAAUCGUGAAUGCUUUAUAAUAUCGUAAAGUAGAGAGGAUGAGGUUAUCUAAGGAACAAUACAUCGGGCAGAUGGCUGCCGCUGGUUUGCUGAAACAUACGCGAUCUUUCAA